AUUGAACGCUGGCGGCAUGGCUAAGACAUGCAAGCCGAGCGCGAAAGUUCCUUCGGGAGCGAGUAGAGCGGCGAAAGGGCGAGUAAUGCGUUCCUACGUACCUUCAGGUGAGGGAUAGCCCAGGGAAACUUGGUUUAAUACCUCAUGUGGUCUCCGGAUCAAAGGCUUCGGCCGCCAGAAGAGCGGGGAACGUCCUAUCAGGUUGUUGGUGAGGUAAGAGCUCACCAAGCCUUAGACGGGUAGCGGGUGUGAGAGCAUGACCCGCCGCAUCGGGACUGAGACACUGCCCGG
Molecule: ribosomal RNA, 291 nt
Filed under: uncultured bacterium
Lineage: Bacteria
Description: partial 16S ribosomal RNA
Rfam family: Bacterial small subunit ribosomal RNA
Source: RNAcentral